Molecule: ribosomal RNA, 253 nt
Filed under: uncultured bacterium
Lineage: Bacteria
Description: partial 16S ribosomal RNA
Rfam family: Bacterial small subunit ribosomal RNA
Source: RNAcentral
UACGUAUGGGGCAAGCGUUAUCCGGAUUUACUGGGUGUAAAGGGAGCGCAGGCGGCCUGGCAAGCCUGAUGUGAAAUACCGGGGCCCAACCCCGGGGCUGCAUUGGGAACUGCCAGGCUAGAGUGCCGGAGAGGCAGGCGGAAUUCCUAGUGUAGCGGUGAAAUGCGUAGAUAUUAGGAGGAACACCAGUGGCGAAGGCGGCCUGCUGGACGGUGACUGACGCUGAGGCUCGAAAGCGUGGGGAGCAAACAGG